AUACGAAGGGUGCAAGCGUUGUUCGGAUUUAUUGGGCGUAAAGCGCGCGCAGGCGGACAACUAAGCCAGAUGUGAAAUCUCGGGGCUCAACCCCGAAACUGCGUUUGGAACUGGUUGUCUAGAGUCUCGGAGAGGGAAGGGGAAUUUCGCAUGUAGGGGUAAAAUCCGUAGAGAUGCGAAGGAACACCAGAGGCGAAGGCGCCUUCCUGGACGAGUACUGACGCUGAGGCGCGAAAGCGUGGGGAGCGAACAGGAUUAGAUACCCCGGUAGUCC
This 274-nucleotide ribosomal RNA is filed under the name uncultured bacterium. RNAcentral's name for it is "partial 16S ribosomal RNA". It matches the Rfam family "Bacterial small subunit ribosomal RNA", at positions 523 to 796 of the family's 1533-position model. The record is from RNAcentral.